UAAAAACAAAAAUUCUUUUGUUCUUCUUUCUCUUCUAUUCUUAAACGGGGCAAGAUGAAGGGAAGGCAAAGGGUUUUUCGCCUCCGUCGAUGCCUCCACGUCUCCGUCAUCGCAUCUCCUCGUCUCCGUCACACCUCUGCUCUCUCUCUCGUCUUCGGUGGCAAGGCGGAGCUGCGUCGGAGGCAGCUGCAGCGAAGCUUAUAAAGCGCAGGAAGCUUGCGAGUUUCUCCCUUGCCAUAGAUUUUCAUAUGUAAAAGCAGGGAUGGAGAUGGCUAUGAUUGAUGCAGCUUCUAAGAGCGUUGGAGUGCCUUUGUGGAAAUUAUUUUUUGUCUUGAAGAGAGACCUAUCUGCUUAGAAACUAAACUAUGGCACUAAAUGCUCAUAUCAAAAAAGCAAUGACAGCUAUGAAGGCUCUUGGAAUAGAGGAGGCGCAGAUAAAGCCUGUCUUGAAAAACCUUCUCAACCUUUACGAUAAGAAGUGGGACUAAAUAGCCUAGGACAACUACAGGGCUCUCGCUGAUGCUAUCUUCGAGAGCCAAGAGACUCAGGCCACUGAAGAGAAAAAAGGAAAGGAGAAGAAGGCCGACCAAGCUGAAGGCAGCGUAUGUUAUUUCCCCACAACCUACCUUUUAUUAUUUCAAUGACUGUAUUUUGGUUGGUUCUUUUAAUUUUUACUAUGCCCUUUGAUUUAGCACUGUUGUUUUUGUUUUUGGCUUUGCUAAUUAUGUCUUUGCAGUUGUUUUUGGUUGUUGUUAUUUGCAACCAAAAACAACUCUGAAAAGGUUCUUCCUGAGUUUUAAGAAGCAGCAAAAUCAUUUAAAGGAAAGGUAAGAACAUAGGUAGUAACUCUGAUUUAUUUUUGAUAUGCUUUGUUUCACAUCAAGAAAAGUACAUGAAUAUAUGAUCUUUGGAGGCAACGAUGGGUAAGAUUACUUCUGACAAGCCUUUGUUUCUUUCAAAUUGCAACAGCUCAUCUUUAAUUUGUACAUGUGGAUGUGGAUAAUGAGGAUUAUGGGAAGCCAGUUGCUGACUACUUUGGUGUGUCUGGCGAUGGUCCUAAAGAGAAGGCUCCCCAAGGCUGAUAAGCGCAAGGUUGAGUAUGAGAAGACAAGAAACUCUGUUUUUCCCGAAUCAUUCACAAGCAGAGGAGGAAAAAAAAAGAAAAGCUCCGGUGUUAGCCUAAGAUUGACGGUGGUAGCGGCAGUAUAAUGUUUGUGUUUAGGUUUCUGGUUUUUUUUGUCACUUAGGUUUCUGGUUUAGUUUUGGUUUGGGUUAUUUUGUAAACAAUUUCAAUAUAUAAAAUUUAUAAAAUAUUUAUAUCUGUA
This is a long non-coding RNA of Brassica napus (rape), 1325 nucleotides long. RefSeq lists it as uncharacterized. The record is from RefSeq and is a predicted model, not a curated record. Lineage: Eukaryota; Viridiplantae; Streptophyta; Magnoliopsida; Brassicales; Brassicaceae. The transcript has 5 exons.